CGAGUCAUUGUAGUAAUACAAGGCAGACGGCUCAGUAACGCGUACUCACCUAACCUAUGGACGGGAAUAAUCUCGGGAAACUGAGCAUAAUGCCCGAUAGAACAUUAUACCUGGAAUGGUUUAUGUUCGAAAUGAUUUAUCGCCGUAGGAUGGGACUGCGCCCUAUCAGUUUGUUGGUGAGGUAAUGGCCCACCAAGACUAUUACAGGUACGGGCUCUGAGAGGAGUAGCCCGGAGAUGGGUACUGAGACACGGACCCAGGCCCUAUGGGGCGCAGCAGGCGAGAAAACUUUGCAAUGUGCGAAAGCACGACAAGGUUAAUCCGAGUGGUUUCUGCUAAAGGAACCUUUUGUCGGUCCUAGAAACACCGAUGAAUAAGGGGUGGGCAAGUUCUGGUGUCAGCCGCCGCGGUAAAACCAGCACCUCAAGUGGUCAGGAUGAUUAUUGGGCCUAAAGCAUCCGUAGCCGGCUCUGUUAGUUUUCGGUUAAAUCUGUACGCUCAACGUACAGGCUGCCGGGAAUACUGCAGAGCUAGGGAGUGGGAGAGGUAGACGGUACUCGGUAGGAAGGGGUAAAAUCCUUUGAUCUAUUGAUGACCACCUGUGGCGAAGGCGGUCUACCAGAACACGUCCGACGGUGAGGGAUGAAAGCUGGGGGAGCAAACCGGAUUAGAUACCCGGGUAGUCCCAGCUGUAA
This 695-nucleotide ribosomal RNA is filed under the name uncultured crenarchaeote. Its description in RNAcentral is "bacterial SSU rRNA". It matches the Rfam family "Archaeal small subunit ribosomal RNA", at positions 54 to 756 of the family's 1478-position model. The record is from RNAcentral. Lineage: Archaea; Thermoproteati; Thermoproteota.